GGGGAUUUAGCUCAGUGGCACAGCACCUGCCUGGCAAGCAUGAGGUCCUGAGUUCAAUUCAUGGUCCCCC
This 70-nucleotide transfer RNA is filed under the name Cavia porcellus (domestic guinea pig). It matches the Rfam family "tRNA". From Rfam's summary of the family: Transfer RNA (tRNA) molecules are approximately 80 nucleotides in length. Their secondary structure includes four short double-helical elements and three loops (D, anti-codon, and T loops). The record is from Rfam by way of RNAcentral. Lineage: Eukaryota; Metazoa; Chordata; Mammalia; Rodentia; Caviidae.